Molecule: non-coding RNA, 253 nt
Filed under: Desulforamulus ruminis
Lineage: Bacteria; Bacillati; Bacillota; Clostridia; Eubacteriales; Peptococcaceae
Description: Desulfotomaculum ruminis T-box sequence
Rfam family: T-box leader
About the family: Uncharged tRNA acts as the effector for transcription antitermination of genes in the T-box leader family.
Source: RNAcentral
UUUAAAACGAUGACAGGGACUAGUAAGCGUUUACUGCUGGUUCAGAGAGCCGCCGGUUGGUGCGAAGGCGGUCGAAGGCAGGGCGAUGAACUCCCCCUUGAGUUGCCGACCGAAGGAGUUAGCAGUAGGCUCGGACGGAAUCUUCCACCGAUAAAAGGAAGGGAAUAUCGGAUUUUAAAUCCCGUAUUCUAUUAAGGGAACGACUUGUGUCGUUACAUUGAGUGGUACCGCGGAGGAACCCUUCGUCUCAAUU